AGAGUUGAUCCUGGCUAGGACGAACGCUGGCGGCGUGCUUAACACAUGCAAGUCGAACGAGGAUCAAGGAGAGCUUGCUUGAAUUGAUUCGAGUGGCGGACGGGUGAGUAACGCGUGAGCAACCUGUCUCACACAGGGGAAUAACGCAUCGAAAGAUGUGCUAAUACCGCAUAAGACCACGGGACCGCAUGGUACUGAGGUAAAAGGAGGAAUCCGGUGUGAGGUGGGCUCGCGUCUGAUUAGAUAGUUGGUGAGGUAACGGCCCACCAAGUCAACGAUCAGUAGCCGACCUGAGAGGGUGAUCGGCCACAUUGGGACUGAGACACGGCCCAGACUCCUACGGGAGGCAGCAGUGGGGAAUAUUGGGCAAUGGGCGGAAGCCUGACCCAGCAACGCCGCGUGAAGGAAGAAGGUUUUCGGAUCGUAAACUUCUGUCCUAUGAGAAGAUAGUGACGGUAUCAUAGGAGGAAGCCCCGGCUAACUACGUGCCAGCCGCUGC
This 499-nucleotide ribosomal RNA is filed under the name uncultured bacterium. RNAcentral's name for it is "bacterial SSU rRNA". It matches the Rfam family "Bacterial small subunit ribosomal RNA", at positions 9 to 518 of the family's 1533-position model. The record is from RNAcentral.